RNAcentral lists this ribosomal RNA (2903 nucleotides) under Proteus mirabilis. RNAcentral's name for it is "23S ribosomal RNA". It matches the Rfam family "Bacterial large subunit ribosomal RNA". Lineage: Bacteria; Pseudomonadati; Pseudomonadota; Gammaproteobacteria; Enterobacterales; Morganellaceae. The record is from RNAcentral.
GGUUAAGCGAAUAAGCGUACACGGUGGAUGCCUAGGCAAUCAGAGGCGAUGAAGGACGUGCUAAUCUGCGAAAAGCGUCGGUAAGGUGAUAUGAACCGUUAUACCCGACGAUAUCCGAAUGGGGAAACCCAGUAUCCAAUGGAUACUAUCAUUAACUGAAUCCAUAGGUUAAUGAGGCGAACCGGGAGAACUGAAACAUCUCAGUACCCCGAGGAAAAGAAAUCAACCGAGAUUCCCCUAGUAGCGGCGAGCGAACGGGGAGCAGCCCAGAGUCUUAAUCAAUAACAGUGUCAGGAGAACGGUCUGGAAAGUCCGGCAGUAAAGGGUGAUAGCCCCGUAUCUGAAGAUGCUGUUAUUGUGAACUCGACGAGUAGGGCGGGACACGUGUUAUCCUGUCUGAAUAUGGGGGGACCAUCCUCCAAGGCUAAAUACUCCUGAUUGACCGAUAGUGAACCAGUACCGUGAGGGAAAGGCGAAAAGAACCCCGGCGAGGGGAGUGAAAAAGAACCUGAAACCGUGUACGUACAAGCAGUAGGAGCCUCUUUAUGGGGUGACUGCGUACCUUUUGUAUAAUGGGUCAGCGACUUAUAUUCUGUAGCAAGGUUAACCGUAUAGGGGAGCCGUAGGGAAACCGAGUCUUAACUGGGCGAAUGAGUUGCAGGGUAUAGACCCGAAACCCGGUGAUCUAUCCAUGGGCAGGUUGAAGGUUGGGUAACACUAACUGGAGGACCGAACCGACUAAUGUUGAAAAAUUAGCGGAUGACUUGUGGAUGGGGGUGAAAGGCCAAUCAAACCGGGAGAUAGCUGGUUCUCCCCGAAAGCUAUUUAGGUAGCGCCUCGUGAACUCAUCUUCGGGGGUAGAGCACUGUUUCGACUAGGGGGUCAUCCCGACUUACCAACUCGAUGCAAACUGCGAAUACCGAAGAAUGUUAUCACGGGAGACACACGGCGGGUGCUAACGUCCGUCGUGAAGAGGGAAACAACCCAGACCGCCAGCUAAGGUCCCAAAGUCAUGGUUAAGUGGGAAACGAAGUGGGAAGGCUCAGACAGCCAGGAUGUUGGCUUAGAAGCAGCCAUCAUUUAAAGAAAGCGUAAUAGCUCACUGGUCGAGUCGGCCCGCGCGGAAGAUGUAACGGGGCUAAACCAUGCACCGAAGCUGCGGCAGCGACACAAAGUGUUGUUGGGUAGGGGAGCGUUCUGUAAGCCUGCGAAGGUGUACUGUGAGGUAUGCUGGAGGUAUCAGAAGUGCGAAUGCUGACAUAAGUAACGAUAAUGCGGGUGAAAAACCCGCACGCCGGAAGACCAAGGGUUCCUGUCCAACGUUAAUCGGGGCAGGGUGAGUCGACCCCUAAGGCGAGGCUGAAAAGCGUAGUCGAUGGGAAACGGGUUAAUAUUCCCGUACUGGUGGUAACUGCGAUGGGGGAACGGAGAAGGCUAGGUUGUCCGGGCGACGGUCGUCCCGGUUCAAGCAGGUAGGCAGAGUGAUUAGGCAAAUCCGGUCACUUAAUGCUGAGAUGUGAUGACGAACCACCAAGGUGGUGAAGCAAUUGAUGCCCCGCUUCCAGGAAAAGCCUCUAAGCUUCAGGUUACCAACAAUCGUACCCCAAACCGACACAGGUGGUCAGGUAGAGAAUACUCAGGCGCUUGAGAGAACUCGGGUGAAGGAACUAGGCAAAAUGGUGCCGUAACUUCGGGAGAAGGCACGCUGGCGGUAGGUAAAGUCCCUUGCGGACGGCGCUGAAGCCAGUCGAAGAUACCAGCUGGCUGCAACUGUUUAUUAAAAACACAGCACUGUGCAAACACGAAAGUGGACGUAUACGGUGUGACGCCUGCCCGGUGCUGGAAGGUUAAUUGAUGGGGUCAGCCGUAAGGCGAAGCUCCUGAUCGAAGCCCCAGUAAACGGCGGCCGUAACUAUAACGGUCCUAAGGUAGCGAAAUUCCUUGUCGGGUAAGUUCCGACCUGCACGAAUGGCGUAAUGAUGGCCAGGCUGUCUCCACCCGAGACUCAGUGAAAUUGAACUCGCUGUGAAGAUGCAGUGUACCCGCGGCAAGACGGAAAGACCCCGUGAACCUUUACUAUAGCUUGACACUGAACAUUGAGCCUUGAUGUGUAGGAUAGGUGGGAGGCUUUGAAGUGUGGACGCCAGUCUGCAUGGAGCCAACCUUGAAAUACCACCCUUUAACGUUUGAUGUUCUAACCUAGGCCCAUAAACUGGGUCGGGGACCGUGUCUGGUGGGUAGUUUGACUGGGGCGGUCUCCUCCUAAAGAGUAACGGAGGAGCACGAAGGUUGGCUAAGCAUGGUCGGACAUCAUGCGGUUAGUGCAAAGGCAUAAGCCAGCUUGACUGCGAGAGUGACGGCUCGAGCAGGUACGAAAGUAGGUCUUAGUGAUCCGGUGGUUCUGAAUGGAAGGGCCAUCGCUCAACGGAUAAAAGGUACUCCGGGGAUAACAGGCUGAUACCGCCCAAGAGUUCAUAUCGACGGCGGUGUUUGGCACCUCGAUGUCGGCUCAUCACAUCCUGGGGCUGAAGUAGGUCCCAAGGGUAUGGCUGUUCGCCAUUUAAAGUGGUACGCGAGCUGGGUUUAGAACGUCGUGAGACAGUUCGGUCCCUAUCUGCCGUGGGCGUUGGAAGAUUGAGAGGGGUUGCUCCUAGUACGAGAGGACCGGAGUGAACGCACCACUGGUGUUCGGGUUGUCAUGCCAAUGGCAUUGCCCGGUAGCUAAGUGCGGAAGAGAUAACCGCUGAAAGCAUCUAAGCGGGAAACUUGCCUCGAGAUGAGUCUUCCCUGUCGCUUUAAGCGACCUAAAGGAACGUUUAAGACUAAGACGUUGAUAGGCUGGGUGUGUAAGCGUAGCGAUACGUUGAGCUAACCAGUACUAAUGAACCGUGAGGCUUAACCUG